GAUUAACGCUAGCGGCAGGCAUAAUACAUGCAAGUUGAACGGCAGCACAGGUAGCAAUACUGGGUGGCGAGUGGCGCACGGGUGCGUAACACGUAUGCAACCUACCCUAUACAGGCGAAUAACCUUUAGAAAUGAGGGCUAAUACGCCGUAGUAUUACAGAUGGGCAUCUAUUUGUACUUAAAGAUUUAUCGGUAUAGGAUGGGCAUGCGUCCCAUUAGUUAGUUGGUAAGGUAACGGCUUACCAAGACGAUGAUGGGUAGGGGAUCUGAGAGGACUUACCCCCACACUGGUACUGAGACACGGACCAGACUCCUACGGGAGGCAGCAGUAAGGAAUAUUGGGCAAUGGCCGCGAGGCUGACCCAGCCAUGCCGCGUGCAGGAAGACGGCCUUAUGGGUUGUAAACUGCUUUUAUACGGGAAUAAUAGAGUGUACGCGUACAUUUAUGCAAGUAUCGUAUGAAUAAGCAUCGGCUAACUCCGUG
This 484-nucleotide ribosomal RNA is filed under the name uncultured bacterium. Its description in RNAcentral is "partial 16S ribosomal RNA". It matches the Rfam family "Bacterial small subunit ribosomal RNA", at positions 28 to 507 of the family's 1533-position model. The record is from RNAcentral.